Molecule: ribosomal RNA, 405 nt
Filed under: uncultured bacterium
Lineage: Bacteria
Description: partial 16S ribosomal RNA
Rfam family: Bacterial small subunit ribosomal RNA
Source: RNAcentral
AUUGAACGCUGGCGGCAGGCCUAACACAUGCAAGUCGAACGAGUGGCGGACGGGUGAGUAAUGUCUGGGAAACUGCCUGAUGGAGGGGGAUAACUACUGGAAACGGUAGCUAAUACCGCAUACCAUCAGAUGUGCCCAGAUGGGAUUAGCUAGUUGGUGGGGUAACGGCUCACCAAGGCGACGAUCCCUAGCUGGUCUGAGAGGAUGGCCUGCCACACUGGAACGGGGAAACGGUCCAGACGCCAACGGGAGGCAGCAGUGGGGAAUAUGGCACGAUGGGCGGAAGCCUGAUGCAGCAAGGCCGCGUGUAUGAAGAAGGCCUUCGGGUUGUAAAGUACUGUCAGCGGGGAGGCGUUACCCGCAGAAGAAGCACCGGCUAACUCCGUGCCAGCAGCGCGGUAAUAC